CCUGUCCGAGCAGUUGUUACAGGGCACUUCAGCGUGACAUGAAUAGGCUUCCUCUGCGUGGCUUUGCAUAUCCUGCUCUUUUUAUCCGUUUAUUAUAGCCACGCCACAGGCUAUCUGUUGUUAUCUGCUGUAAGCUGCGGUGGUUUAAACAGGCCUCUAUUCAAAGCAGAUGAGCAGAACUUGGAAUAUUCAGCAAUAUCUAGCAGUCAGAUUCAAGACUGAACACUCCCUUUCUCACCCCCUCCCGUUGGUGAAGCGACAGUGGCCUCUGAGGACAAGAAGCUUCUGUGAUGCAUGUUAAGAAUUUGGAAUACCCACAGGAUCCUGGUGGAAACAGAACAAGGUGCAGGGACUGUCUGUGUAGUGUAGGUUUUCUCCCAACACUCCUUAGUCUUUCCCGUCCUUGUUUUUGGUGAGAGAAGAACAGAAGGAGAGAGAGAAAGAGACACAAGAAAGAGACAGAGAAAGAGAGCGUGUGUGAAAGUGUUGUCAGGAAGGUUGACUCUUGAGGCCGGCUGUGCUCUAAACACGCAGCAUCGAGGGAUGCUGUUGUGCCUUCGAGGUCCUGUCGCCAUGGGUCUGUAACCAAGGGUGCUACUCUGCGCCUCCAGGCAUUUCUUCUUCUCCGUUUCCAGUUCAUACUUAUAUUUACACCACAGGGAAUGUGAUUGUUUCUUUGUUAUCUUUGUUUCCUUGAAUAAGACAACAAAAAGACAGAGAGAGAGAACGGUAAACUCUGUUAUAUAAAGACAACAACUCAUUAUGAGCCAGCCAUGUGCACUCAGUGGUCCCCUUAUCAGAUAAACCUGCACAGGACAUCAUAUAUCAUGCUUACCUUCAGGACUACUCUGUGCACCAUUCUUUCGAUUAAUGUGAGAACAGUUUGGUCUACAAAACUUUAGAAAACAACAAUUUACUUCAAUGUUUGGUCAAUGAGAGCAGCAAAU
This is a long non-coding RNA of Notolabrus celidotus (New Zealand spotty), 947 nucleotides long. RefSeq lists it as uncharacterized. The transcript has 3 exons. NCBI's taxonomy places the organism in Eukaryota, Metazoa, Chordata, Actinopteri, Labriformes, Labridae. The record is from RefSeq and is a predicted model, not a curated record.